GUCAGCACCCCGCACUGAAGUGACGGGGCUUCAUGCCUCUAACUUUAGUUAGUUGACCAGCCUAAGUCUUAACUGACUAUGUUUUUUGAGUCAAGACACCCUGCUGGAUGCGUAGCUAGUCCCUGGCUCUGUC
RNAcentral lists this small RNA (133 nucleotides) under Planktothrix serta PCC 8927. RNAcentral's name for it is "HEARO". It matches the Rfam family "HNH endonuclease-associated RNA and ORF (HEARO) RNA", at positions 1 to 132 of the family's 211-position model. Lineage: Bacteria; Bacillati; Cyanobacteriota; Cyanophyceae; Oscillatoriales; Microcoleaceae. The record is from RNAcentral.